This 500-nucleotide ribosomal RNA is filed under the name uncultured bacterium. Its description in RNAcentral is "partial 16S ribosomal RNA". It matches the Rfam family "Bacterial small subunit ribosomal RNA", at positions 29 to 523 of the family's 1533-position model. The record is from RNAcentral.
AUUGAACGCUGGCGGCAUGCCUUACACAUGCAAGUCGAACGGCAGCACGGGUGCUUGCACCUGGUGGCGAGUGGCGAACGGGUGAGUAAUACAUCGGAACGUACCUUAUCGUGGGGGAUAACGCAGCGAAAGCUGUGCUAAUACCGCAUACACCCUGAGGGGGAAAGCGGGGGAUCGCAAGACCUCGCGCGAUUAGAGCGGCCGAUGCCUGAUAGCUAGUUGGUGGGGUAAAAGCCCACCAAGGCGACGAUCAGUAGCUGGUCUGAGAGGACGAUAAGCCACACUGGGACUGAGACACGGCCCAGACUCCUACGGGAGGCAGCAGUGGGGAAUUUUGGACAAUGGGGGCAACCCUGAUCCAGCAAUGCCGCGUGAGUGAAGAAGGCAUUCGGGUUGUAAAGCUCUUUUGUCAGGGAAGAAACACCGGCUCUAACACAGUCCGGGAAUGACGGUACCUGAAGAAUAAGCACCGGCUAACUACGUGCCAGCAGCCGCCGUAA